This 485-nucleotide ribosomal RNA is filed under the name uncultured bacterium. RNAcentral's name for it is "partial 16S ribosomal RNA". It matches the Rfam family "Bacterial small subunit ribosomal RNA", at positions 30 to 507 of the family's 1533-position model. The record is from RNAcentral.
UUGAACGCUGGCGGCAUGCCUUACACCUGCACGUCGAACGGCAGCACGGGUGCUUGCCCCUGGUGGCGAGUGGCGAACGGGUGAGUAAUACAUCGGAACAUGUCCUGUAGUGGGGGAUAGCCCGGCGAAAGCCGGAUUAAUACCGCAUACGAUCCACGGAUGAAAGCGGGGGACCUUCGGGCCUCGCGCUAUAGGGUUGGCCGAUGGCUGAUUAGCUAGUUGGUGGGGUAAAGGCCUACCAAGGCGACGAUCAGUAGCUGGUCUGAGAGGACGACCAGCCACACUGGGACUGAGACACGGCCCAGACUCCUACGGGAGGCAGCAGUGGGGAAUUUUGGACAAUGGGCGAAAGCCUGAUCCAGCAAUGCCGCGUGUGUGAAGAAGGCCUUCGGGUUGUAAAGCACUUUUGUCCGGAAAGAAAUCCUUGACUCUAAUACAGUCGGGGGAUGACGGUACCGGAAGAAUAAGCACCGGCUAACUACGUG